This 136-nucleotide non-coding RNA is filed under the name Pteropus alecto (black flying fox). Its description in RNAcentral is "Eukaryotic large subunit ribosomal RNA". It matches the Rfam family "Eukaryotic large subunit ribosomal RNA", at positions 2628 to 2763 of the family's 3401-position model. The record is from Rfam by way of RNAcentral. Lineage: Eukaryota; Metazoa; Chordata; Mammalia; Chiroptera; Pteropodidae. RNAcentral also lists the same sequence under 1 other name.
GGUAUUUACACCUGUGAAACGGUAAUGCAGGUGUCCUAAGUCAAGCUCUGAGAGGACUGAAACCUCCCAUGGAGCAGAAGAGCAAAAGCUCACUUGAUCUUGGUUUUCAGUAUGAAUACAGACUAUGAAAGUGGAG